GCCCUAGUAGCUUAGUAUUAUAAAGCACCGGUCUUGUAAUCCGGAAAUCGAAGGUUAAAAUCCUUCCUAGUGCC
RNAcentral lists this transfer RNA (74 nucleotides) under Ancistrus temminckii. RNAcentral's name for it is "tRNA-Thr". It matches the Rfam family "tRNA". From Rfam's summary of the family: Transfer RNA (tRNA) molecules are approximately 80 nucleotides in length. Their secondary structure includes four short double-helical elements and three loops (D, anti-codon, and T loops). Further hydrogen bonds mediate the characteristic L-shaped molecular structure. tRNAs have two regions of fundamental functional importance: the anti-codon, which is responsible for specific mRNA codon recognition, and the 3' end, to which the tRNAs corresponding amino acid is attached (by aminoacyl-tRNA synthetases). tRNAs cope with the degeneracy of the genetic code in two manners: having more than one tRNA (with a specific anti-codon) for a particular amino acid; and 'wobble' base-pairing, i.e. permitting non-standard base-pairing at the 3rd anti-codon position. The record is from RNAcentral. Lineage: Eukaryota; Metazoa; Chordata; Actinopteri; Siluriformes; Loricariidae.